This 378-nucleotide unclassified non-coding RNA is filed under the name plant metagenome. RNAcentral describes it as "partial contains 5.8S ribosomal RNA, internal transcribed spacer 2, and large subunit ribosomal RNA". The stretch from base 1 to 105 matches the Rfam family "5.8S ribosomal RNA", at positions 50 to 154 of the family's 154-position model. The record is from RNAcentral.
GAAAUGCGAUAAGUAAUGUGAAUUGCAGAAUUCAGUGAAUCAUCGAAUCUUUGAACGCACCUUGCGCUCCUUGGUAUUCCUUGGAGCAUGCCUGUUUGAGUAUCAUGAAAUCUUCAAAGUAAAUCUUUUGUUAACUCAAUUGGUUUCUACUUUGGUAUUGGAGGUCUUUGCAGCUUCACACCUGCUCCUCUUUGUUCAUUAGCUGGAUCUCAGUUUUAUGCUUGGUUCCACUCGGCGUGAUAAGUUAUCUAUCGCUGAGGACACUGUAAAAGGUGGCCAAGGUAAAUGCAGAUGAACCGCUUCUAAUAGUCCAUUGACUUGGACAAUACUUUUAUGAUCUGAUCUCAAAUCAGGUAGGACUACCCGCUGAACUUAAGC